This 490-nucleotide ribosomal RNA is filed under the name uncultured bacterium. RNAcentral's name for it is "partial 16S ribosomal RNA". It matches the Rfam family "Bacterial small subunit ribosomal RNA", at positions 30 to 507 of the family's 1533-position model. The record is from RNAcentral.
AUUGAACGCUGGCGGCAGGCCUAACACAUGCAAGUCGAACGGUAACAGGAAGCAGCUUGCUGCUUUGCUGACGAGUGGCGGACGGGUGAGUAAUGUCUGGGAAACUGCCCGAUGGAGGGGGAUAACUACUGGAAACGGUAGCUAAUACCGCAUAACGUCGCAAGACCAAAGAGGGGGACCUUAGGGCCUCUUGCCAUCGGAUGUGCCCAGAUGGGAUUAGCUAGUAGGUGGGGUAACGGCUCACCUAGGCGACGAUACCUAGCUGGUCUGAGAGGAUGACCGGCCACACUGGAACUGAGACACGGUCCAGACUCCUACGGGAGGCAGCAGUGGGGAAUAUUGCACAAUGGACGCAAGCCUGAUGGAGCCAUGCCGCGUGUAUGAAGAAGGUCUUCGGAUUGUAAAGUACUUUCAGCGGGGAGGAAGGAAGUAAAGUGAAAACGUUAGCUCAUUGACGUUACCCAAAGAGGAAGCAACGGCUAACUCCGUG